AUACGGAGGAGGCUAGCGUUGUUCGGAAUUACUGGGCGUAAAGCGCGCGUAGGCGGUUUGCCAAGUCAGGCGUGAAAUCCCCGGGCUCAACCUGGGAACUGCGUUUGAUACUGGCAGACUAGAGGCCGGGAGAGGGUAGUGGAAUUCCCAGUGUAGAGGUGAAAUUCGUAGAUAUUGGGAAGAACACCGGUGGCGAAGGCGGCUACCUGGACCGGUUCUGACGCUGAGGUGCGAAAGCGUGGGGAGCAAACAGGAUUAGAAACCCCAGUAGUCC
RNAcentral lists this ribosomal RNA (274 nucleotides) under uncultured bacterium. RNAcentral describes it as "partial 16S ribosomal RNA". It matches the Rfam family "Bacterial small subunit ribosomal RNA", at positions 523 to 796 of the family's 1533-position model. The record is from RNAcentral.